GUGCUUGCUUCGGCAGCACACCUACCAAAAUCGGAACGAUACACAGAGAAUUGAUAUCACCCCUGCACGAGGAUGGCACGCAAAUUCAUGAAGUGUUCCAUAUUUUU
Small nuclear RNA from Phyllostomus hastatus (greater spear-nosed bat), 107 nucleotides. The record is from RefSeq and is a predicted model, not a curated record. NCBI's taxonomy places the organism in Eukaryota, Metazoa, Chordata, Mammalia, Chiroptera, Phyllostomidae.